Molecule: small nuclear RNA, 101 nt
Filed under: Penicillium nalgiovense
Lineage: Eukaryota; Fungi; Ascomycota; Eurotiomycetes; Eurotiales; Aspergillaceae
Source: RNAcentral
GCCCUUCGGGGCAUAUGGUCUUCUAAAAAUAUAUAGAGAAGAUUAGCAUGGCCCCUGCACUAAGGAUGACAUGCGUAAUCAAAGAGAAGCUACCAAUUUUU